RNAcentral lists this ribosomal RNA (468 nucleotides) under uncultured bacterium. Its description in RNAcentral is "partial 16S ribosomal RNA". It matches the Rfam family "Bacterial small subunit ribosomal RNA", at positions 28 to 507 of the family's 1533-position model. The record is from RNAcentral.
GACGAACGCUGGCGGCGUGCUUAACACAUGCAAGUCGAACGGUGAUGCUCCAGCUUGCUGGAGUGGAUCAGUGGCGAACGGGUGAGUAACACGUGAGCAACCUGCCCCAGACUCUGGAAUAAGCGCUGGAAACGGCGUCUAAUACUGGAUACGAAACUGGCCCGCAUGGGCAUGGUUUGGAAAGUUUAUCGGUUUGGGAUGGGCUCGCGGCCUAUCAGCUUGUUGGUGAGGUAAUGGCUCACCAAGGCGACGACGGGUAGCCGGCCUGAGAGGGCGACCGGCCACACUGGGACUGCGACACGGCCCAGACUCCUACGGGAGGCAGCAGUGGGGAAUAUUGCACAAUGGGCGAAAGCCUGAUGCAGCGACGCCGCUUGAGGGAUGACGGCCUUCGGGUUGUAAACCUCUUUCAGCAGGGAAGAAGCGAAAGUGACGGUACCUGCAGAAGAAGCACCGGCUAACUACGUG